Molecule: long non-coding RNA, 2770 nt
Organism: Alligator mississippiensis (American alligator)
Lineage: Eukaryota; Metazoa; Chordata; Crocodylia; Alligatoridae
Exons: 3
Source: RefSeq, a predicted model, not a curated record
GGCAAAUCAACAGUACCUUUUCUCUUCAUGGUCUACCCUCCCAGCCCUUGUAGAACACUCCUGCAGGUUCCCAUAGGUCUGUGUCCUGACAGUUAAUUUAUCUUAUUUAUUUAUUAGAUGUAUGCAUAUGCCAUCCUUCCUAACAAAGGCUCAGAUAAGCUUAAAAUAGAAAAUAUGAAUUAAUUAAAAACGGAAGAAUGGCAAGAGUCCCAAAACAGCUUAAAAGUGAACCAGAACAUUAAAAUAAAACACAGACCCCAUAAACAACAUCUCAACUUAGUUUUGUUCAAUUAAUCAGUGAGUGCUGCCCAAACAAGGAGGUCUUUCAGUGCUUUUGAAAGAUAUCCAGGCUUUGGCACCUGCAAGCCUCAAAAGGAACGGAAGAAGCUCCAGUGCUGAGGAGCGAACACUGAGAAUGAUCUCAUAUGUGUUUUCCUCAAGUGGACUUAAAAACUGAUGGUACUUGUAGAAGGUUGCUCUCAGUUGACCUUAGGGAUCAUAAAGGGACAUAUAGAAGAAGGUGGACCCUUAAGUAUGUAGGACCCAGACCAUUUAGGUCUGUAUAGAUCAAAACCAGCACCUUGAAUUGCACCUUGAAAGCUAUUUGGAGCCAGUGUAGACUCUGGAGAACUGAAAGUAUGUGCUCCUGCCAGCUCACCCCUGUCAGAAGGUGGGUGUCUACGUUCUGCACCAGCUGCAGCCCCCGAAUAGUCUUCAAGGGCAGCCCGACAUAGAGUGCACUGCAGUAGUCUAGUCUUCAGGUUAGAAAAGCAUGGAUGACAGUUACCAGAUCAGAGUCUGAAAUAAAAUGUUGCAGCUUUCUCACCAGAUGGAGUUGGUGAAAGGCACUCCUAGCCACAAUCACAACCUGAAGAUCCAAGGCCAAAAACCUGAGUGAUGGGGAGACUGAAACCUAUCAGUGAUAUGGAUCCCAGUUGUCAUCCCUCCUCCACCCCCCAGUCAUGUGGUAUGCCCACCAGCAUCAAAUCUGGUCUUGGCUGGAUUCAGUUUCAGUUGUUUCACUUGAGUCCAGUCCCCCGUCCCCAACUACAGCUAGGCCCUGCUAACCCAUUCUUUCCCCGUGUAGAAGCUAAUCAGAGAAACUGAGACUAUAAUCUGGCAUGUGUGCCCCCUUACCUCGGCGGCGGAGGCAGCAGGUGGUGAACGGCAGCGGCAGCAGCCGAGGAGACAGUGGAGGGGGCAGCAACAGCUGAUCCCCCCAAAGGUAAGUGGGGCAGCUGAGGCAGAUCCGAAGGGGAAGCCCUUCGGAGCCCUCUUAGCUCGCCCAACAGGGAGCUGCGCUCCUGAGCCGUGUGCGCGAACAGUGCACGGAAACAGGCACGCUCUGUAAGGGCGCGCUGGCAUUUGCACUGGUGUUUGCAUAAGGUGGGCAUGAGGUAGCAGCCCAGAAGGGCACCUCCAACAAAUGAGAGCAGUAGACGCAGCUCUGCAGACAUGGUGCAGAUGCGGAGUACCGCUGCCAGGGGCCUCGGCCUGGCGCUGCCGCCUGCCAUGGGCUCUUCUGAGGCCUCCACUCAGACAGAGCUCAUGGCGGGGUCGGCAGCCCCUCUCCCCCCUGUCUGUGGGGGGGGCUCGGUAGGGCCCUGGGGGGUGGGGCUUGGUGGUCCUCUUCCCUGUCCCUUCUGUGCCCAACUUGGGGCCCUGGAGGAGCAGGUGAGGGAGCUCCAGGCUGAGGUGGAUCAGGGAUGCAGAGGAUGAAAUUGAUGCCUAUCUCUGUUCUCUGCAGGCCCAGUCGCCCACUGUACAGCCCCCACAGGAGACGCAUCCAACGCAGGAGUGGUAGAAGGUGUCCAGAUCCAGAGCUGCUUGGCCUAGAGUGGUGGAAGCUCCUCAGGUACACCUGGGGAACAGGUUUGAGGCCCUGGCAGCUGUGACAGAGAAAGACAGAGCAAAUGCCUCCAGCGGGGACAAUGCCACUCCCCACGCAACAUGGAAUGGGCAGAGAACAAACACCAGCAGGAAGAAACACCGGGUCCUCGUUGUCGGAGACUCCAUCUUACAAGGACUGGAAAGUCCCAUCUGCUGGCCUGACCCCAUGAUGCGGGAGGUCUGCUUCAUGCCUGGGACUCGGGUUCGGGACAUCACGGAGAGGAUCCCAGCCUACAUCCGACCUGCAGACCAGUACCCCAUGGUUGUCAUCCACGUGGGAAUGAAUGAUGAGGCCAGGGGCAACCCUAACUGCAUUAUGAAGGACUUUGAGGCUCUGGGGGCCAAGCUUAAGGAGACAGGGGUGCAGGUGGUAUUCUCCUCUCUUCUCCCGGUUGGCUGAUCUCGUACAGCGAGCUGUAAACUAGACUCGCAGGGGAAGGGGGCCACAAGAAGACGUGGAGACACCACCCAAGCAAGACAGGUGACACAUGCAAGGAGUGCCCAGGGACUGGGACUCCCCCACUGUGAUUCAAGACAGACUCAAGGGGAACGCCUCCAGACCUAAGGUUGAGGAGGACCAGGUUAGAGUGCUUCUGGAGGGGCUGGACAUGUUCAAAUCAGAAGAUCCAGAUGCUCUCCACCCCAAGGUGUUGAGGGAGCUAGCAGGGGUUAUUGCAGGACCCUUGGCAUGGCUUUAUGAGUGCUCGUGGUGCUCAGGCCAGGUGCCACAUGAUUGGAAGAUAGCCAACUUUAAAAAAGGGAGGAGGGAGGACCCGGGCAACUAUAGGCCCGUCAGUCUUACCUCAAUCCUGGGGAAACUCUUUGAGAAGAUCAUCAAGGAGCACAUCUGUGAUGGGCCAGCAUCAGGGGUGAUGCUCAA